Molecule: ribosomal RNA, 393 nt
Filed under: uncultured bacterium
Lineage: Bacteria
Description: bacterial SSU rRNA
Rfam family: Bacterial small subunit ribosomal RNA
Source: RNAcentral
AGCGAACGCUGGCGGCGUGCCUAACACAUGCAAGUCGAGCGAGAAAGGGGGCUUCGGCCCCUCAGUACAGCGGCGAACGGGUGCGUAACACGUGGGUGAUCUGUCCUCGAGACGGGGAUAACCCAGCGAAAGUUGGGCUAAUACCGGAUAAGACCACAAGAGGAAACUCUCGGGGGUCAAAGGGUGCUUCCUUUUGGGAGCAUUCGCUGGAGGAGGAGCCCCGCGUCCUAUCAGGCUUGNGGUAGGGUAACGGCCUACCAAGGCAAAGACGGGUAGCUGGUCUGAGAGGACGACCAGUCACACUGGAACUGAGACACGGUCCAGACACCUACGGGUGGCAGCAGUCGAGAAUUUUUCGUCAAUGGGGGCAACCCUGAAGGAGCGACGCCGCGU